RNAcentral lists this ribosomal RNA (510 nucleotides) under uncultured bacterium. Its description in RNAcentral is "partial 16S ribosomal RNA". It matches the Rfam family "Bacterial small subunit ribosomal RNA", at positions 28 to 507 of the family's 1533-position model. The record is from RNAcentral.
GACGAACGCUGGCGGCGUGCUUAACACAUGCAAGUCGAACGAAGAGCGAUGGAAGCUUGCUUCUAUCAAUCUUAGUGGCGAACGGGUGAGUAACGCGUAAUCAACCUGCCCUUCAGAGGGGGACAACAGUUGGAAACGACUGCUAAUACCGCAUACGAUCUAAUCUCGGCAUCGAGGAAAGAUGAAAGGUGGCCUCUAUUUAUAAGCUAUCACUGAAGGAGGGGAUUGCGUCUGAUUAGCUAGUUGGCGGGGUAACGGCCCACCAAGGCGAUGAUCAGUAGCCGGUCUGAGAGGAUGAACGGCCACAUUGGGACUGAGACACGGCCCAGACUCCUACGGGAGGCAGCAGUGGGGAAUCUUCCGCAAUGGACGAAAGUCUGACGGAGCAACGCCGCGUGAGUGAUGACGGCCUUCGGGUUGUAAAGCUCUGUUAAUCGGGACGAAAGGCCUUCUUGCGAACAGUUAGAAGGAUUGACGGUACCGGAAUAGAAAGCCACGGCUAACUACGUG